This 445-nucleotide ribosomal RNA is filed under the name uncultured bacterium. Its description in RNAcentral is "partial 16S ribosomal RNA". It matches the Rfam family "Bacterial small subunit ribosomal RNA", at positions 354 to 796 of the family's 1533-position model. The record is from RNAcentral.
GUAGGGAAUAUUGGGCAAUGGAGGCAACUCUGACCCAGCCAUGCCGCGUGCAGGAUGACGGCCCUCUGGGUUGUAAACUGCUUUUAUACGGGAAGAAAAAAUACUACGUGUAGUAUACUGACGGUACCGUAAGAAUAAGGAUCGGCUAACUCCGUGCCAGCAGCCGCGGUAAUACGGAGGAUCCAAGCGUUGUCCGGAUGUAUUGGGUUUAAAGGGUGCGUAGGCGGAUCUUUAAGUCAGUGGUGAAAGCCUGCAGCUUAACAGUAGAAUUGCCAUUGAAACUGAAGAUCUUGAAUGUGGUUAAAGUAGGCGGAAUGUAUCAUGUAGCGGUGAAAUGCUUAGAUAUGAUACAGAACACCGAUAGCGAAGGCAGCUUGCUGAACCAUUAUUGACGCUGAGGCACGAAAGCGUGGGGAGCGAACAGGAUUAGAAACCCGAGUAGUCC